GGCAGUGUGGCUCAGUGGAAAGAGCACGGGCUUGGGAGUCAGAGGUCAUGGGUUUGAAUCCCGGCUCUGCCA
RNAcentral lists this transfer RNA (72 nucleotides) under Ornithorhynchus anatinus (platypus). It matches the Rfam family "tRNA". From Rfam's summary of the family: Transfer RNA (tRNA) molecules are approximately 80 nucleotides in length. Their secondary structure includes four short double-helical elements and three loops (D, anti-codon, and T loops). Further hydrogen bonds mediate the characteristic L-shaped molecular structure. tRNAs have two regions of fundamental functional importance: the anti-codon, which is responsible for specific mRNA codon recognition, and the 3' end, to which the tRNAs corresponding amino acid is attached (by aminoacyl-tRNA synthetases). tRNAs cope with the degeneracy of the genetic code in two manners: having more than one tRNA (with a specific anti-codon) for a particular amino acid; and 'wobble' base-pairing, i.e. permitting non-standard base-pairing at the 3rd anti-codon position. The record is from Rfam by way of RNAcentral. Lineage: Eukaryota; Metazoa; Chordata; Mammalia; Monotremata; Ornithorhynchidae.